Small nucleolar RNA from Gastrolobium bilobum, 107 nucleotides. NCBI's taxonomy places the organism in Eukaryota, Viridiplantae, Streptophyta, Magnoliopsida, Fabales, Fabaceae. The record is from RefSeq and is a predicted model, not a curated record.
AAGUCAUGUUGUGGACACUUCCUAAGCAUUAUUUUUAAUCUUUAUCAUGCUUCGUACAAGGAUUCACUUUCUUUUUGUUCAAAAGAGGUGAUCUCUGCUUUGAGCCU